UAGACCCAGGGGAAUGCUAACAGGUUGGGCUAUCAGGAAGGUUCUUUGAAUGUCGACACACAAAACAGUGCAUUAAGUAGCGCCAUAUCCCUUCCCUCUCCCUUCUUGCAAUAGAUAGCCCAACAUUUAUCCCCAACAAAAUUUCCAGAGGUCUCUUUAAGGAAAUUGAACAAACUACUUAUUGGAAGAAGCAAAGACUCUUUUGGAAGCUUUUGCCUAGAGAUAUGUGUUCCUCAUUUUGACCUGAGGAGGGACUCCAGUCUGUUCACCCCAGAGAUCCAGAAGUCCAUGGAGCUCUCCUCAGUAGCUGAUGUGCAGAGUGGAUCAAGUACCCCGGAGUCUCAGCCUCUCUACUUCAGCCUCAGCGGCACUGCUUUUUAUCGGUUUUACACCACUGGAUCUAUGUGAGAUUUUUGCUUAACAAAGAACUCCUAACUUGACAGAUAGAAAUUCAUUGGCACAUCAAGUAACUGCUAAGACUCAUCUCAAUGGUUGCAUUACAUGUUUUCCUGUACUUUUUCUUAUGAUACAGACCUUGGACUUGAACUGCAAACCCCGCUUGAGUAUUCACACCUUCAAAAUAGAUUGAAGAAAGUUUGAGAAGAAGUUUUCUUCAAAGAGAGAAAUUGUUUUUCUGGGAGUCCCAGCUCACUCUUCAGGGGAGAGGUUUGAAGUAUCACCUUCCACCCUAGGUAAAAUGAGACAGGCUCUAAGGACCUGCUUAGAGAGCUCUGAAAUGUAUUUUCUGACUUGUUCUGGUGCCUAACUUUGAUAAAUCUGAAGUCAACAAUAGACUUGGGUCUCACAUCCAAUCCAUUCCCUCAGGAAAAUUUAGAGGACAGAAAAAGGCUGACUAAACUCUCCAUGGUGGUCCUUAGAAGGGUAUUUUUUUUUUUAAUAUCGGUUGUAGUUGGACACAAUACCUUUAUUUUAUUUAUUGUUAUGUGGUGCUGAGGAUCAAACCCAGGGCCUCACACAUGCAAGGCGAGCGCUCUACCGCUGAGCCACAACCCUUAGAAGAGGGUUUUAACAACAAAUGUGAUGAGCCUGAUCUCCCAGGUUUGUCUAGGAUUGAGAGAAGUAUAGAGAAGAGCCAGGGUUUUGCUUUGUUUUGUUUGUUUUAGUUGUCAAUGAAUCUUUUGUUUUAUUUAUUUAUAUGCGGUGCUGAGGAUUUAACCCAAGACCUCACACAUGCCAGGCAAGCGCUCUACCACUGAGCCACAACUCCAGCCCCAGAGAAGAACCAGUUUUGUGUCCAAUAGGGACUUCAAGAAGAGGUCAAAGAGUUAGCACCUCAUGUCCAGAGAUUAAGAAAAGGAGUUAUAGGAGCUGGGAGUGUAGCUUAACGUAAAGUGCUUGCCUAGCAUGAGUGAGGCACUGGGUUCAAUCCUCAGCACUGCAUGAAAAAUGAAUAAAUAAAAUAAAGAUAUUGUGUUCAUAUACAACUAAAAACAAAAUUUAAAAAAAAGAAAAAGAAAGAAAGAAAAGGAGUCAUAGAAAAUCACUCAAAAGAAAGAAGCUUCUUCCUGGGUUAAAGAGAGGGAGGAAGAGAAUCCCAAUAGGGUACGUAUGAGAAGCCCACAAAGAGAGAGAAGAAUGGGCUGAUAGCCUAGCAAGCCAACCAGGGAUACCAGCUCCAACCACCCCCUGGGCCUAGACAGGAGCCACCCAGCCAAGGAGAACCUCCCUCACUAUACAGCUGUCUUCAUGCCUUCCUGAGCUUCCACUCCCUGGGGUAGGAAGCCCAGCUGGGAGCAGGGUGAGAAUGGGGAACUGAAGGACCACGCCCCUUGACCACUGAGGACUUCUGGGAAGAAAUAGGCCUAUCUGGGAUAGAAGGGGAAAUAAAAACAGCAGGCCCAUCUCAAGUUUUGAUAACACCAACCUGGACAUUCCCACUGUAAAGCAAAUCUCUGGUCUGACUUAAAGUAACUCUAGGGUUAUCUGUUACUUUAGAGUGGGUAGAAAAACCUUGGCUGGGUAGCUUCAACCAAAAUUAGGGAAAGAUGACUCCCCACUGAACAAAGCUUAAGGAAGCAGUAGGAGUUGUUAUGAUGACAACCCGCACAUCCUGCUGCUGCAGCCUGCCAGCCACAUUUGCUUGCCCAGCUGGUGUGACUUGUAACAACCGGCCUCAGAUCUCAUCCUGUGUGAAUGACAAGUGAUUGAAAUCAUUGCUUUUGCUUUUGGAUUUUCCCCAAAGAGAAAAAUGUCACCCAUGUGGUUUGGAGAGCAAGAACUUGGUCAAAUGCUAUGAACAGAACCAGGAUCAGUAGCCAGGUUGGUGAGGGGUAAGAGGUGGCCUAGGCCUGACAACGUUAUAUAUUUAUUUUAUUCUCUGCUAACAAAAACCAGCACAAAAUUUCAUUAAAGUCAUAAGUGACACACAUUUUUCUUUUUAAUGGCGGAGAAAGUUAGAUUCCCUCGGUUUCAAAAGGACACCAGAUUUCUUUUAUCCUUCUAAUAUUUGAUAAGAGAAGUUGUGACAGUGAGAACCAAUGGGGUUUGAGACUCCUUAGGAAAAGAAAUAGAGGUGGCAGAAUACAGCCCUGAGGAACUCUGACCAAGGCAGGAGCACAGGUAGGUGGUUGGGCAGAAGAAACAAAGAGAGAAGGCAGUGCAUCAGGAGGGGAAGGGAAGGAGAAGAGAAUCUCAAGAAGAGGUGAUGGUGGAGCAGAGUGUUCCUCAGGCUGCCUGCCACCUAGCUUCAGCAGCCCUUCCAGAGCAAAGGUACUUAUGUCCUGGAGGGUCCAUCGUAGGCUGUACCAUCCUGACUCUGCUCGAAGCCUUUGGUCUUUACCAUCCAGACUCGGAUCAUCUGUACCCAAGACAGAGAAACAGCAAUGCCCAGAAACUAAAUCACUUUCCUGAAACUGACAACGAGAUAAGCUCCAUUUCGGUAGCAAAAAGACAAAUGUUUUACACAGUCAAGUUAUCAAAGCACAUUAAAGGAUAGCUUUAAAUUUAUACAGGUACAUUUCUUGCUGAAGGUGUUAUUUAAUAAGGCCUAAAGUAAAAUUGAAAGCGGAAGCAUAGUGAGUUUUUUGAAGUAUUUAUAUUAUUAUGUUCCUGACUGAAGAGAUAAAUUUAGUAGUUGUUUCUCAGGUAACUAAACUUUGCUGUCUGACUUAGUUUUUUAUGUAUUUAAUUUGACUUUAAAUCUGAAUUCUGUGCAAAGUUCCAUAACUGCUUUAAAAUAUGGGCUUUAUUAGAGAUGUGAAAACUGAGAAUGCAGUCAUAUUUUCUUAUUAUUAACUCAUCACAUAAUACUAAGGCAGGGAAAGGAGACUUGGGACACUCAGAUACUCAAAUUGGGAAGAGUCAAAUCAAGUAACUAUGUCUUCUCAUGACCCUGAGAAUAAUUGUGGUUGUACAAAAAAAGAACUUGACCUCUUCACUCUCAACAUCCCUUGGUUUUAGAGAUGAAUAGCAUACUAUUUCAGUUCAAUAAAAAGUUUAGCUUUGUACUGGGGUUGUGGCUCAGUGGUAAAGUGCUUGCCUAGCAUGUGUGAAGCCCUGGGUUUGAUCCUCAGCACCACAUAUAAAUAAAUGCAUAAAAUAAAGGUCCAUCAACAACUAAAAAAUAUAUAUUAAAAAAAAAAGUUCAACUUUUGUAUACAGAUUUUUAGAGGUUUGUUUUGCUUUCUUGCCUACUGGUUCAUUGUGUUUUGUUUUGUUUUGUUUGUGGAAACAGGGGCUUGUUUUCAAAAACUGCAUUUAAAGAGAUAUCUUUAGACCAGAUUAGUAAAUGAAAGCUACACAUCUCCACUUUUAAGAAGAGAUUGGAUGUUUGAGGAAGCCAUGGUCAAUUCUCCAGGCUGACUCAGAUUCCAGAAAAUCAGAUUAAGUCAUCAUCAGUGCCACUCAUUGAUGACUAUUUCCUGAGUGAGAUAUACAUGUAUAAUCUAGGUAAGCAAAUAACUGCAAUACAAGGCAGAAUGAAAAACAAAAUCAAACGUACAACCAGAGACAUGAAAAAUUGUGUUCUAUAUGUGUACUAUGAAUUGAAAUGCAUUCUGCUGUCAUGUAUAAAAAAUUAGAGUAAAUAAAUAAAUUUUAAAAAGCAAAAAACCAAACAAACACAAAACCCCCACAGGUGUAAUGCAAAACGCUUAAAUCCUACAGGAGCCUCUGAUUUAAAGAUGAAGUAAAGCUAGGCACAGUAGUGCAUGCCUAUCAUCCCAGCAGUUCGACAGGCUAAGGCAGAGGAUCACUAAAGUUCAAAGCCAGCCUCAACAACUUAAUGAGUCCCUAAACAACUUAGCGAGACACUGGUUAGCUCAGUGGUUAAGCGCCCGUGGGUUCAAUCCCCAGUACCAAAAAAAAAAAAAAAUGAAGUAAAGAUAAAGUAAAAUACUCAGUCUCAUCAAUUACUUGAAACAAUAAAGAGAAGCAAAUAAACCUGUGUUUGUCUGGCUCUUUAGAGUAGCAGAUACUAAACUGGACUAAACAUACAAGAAUUUUAUGAGUGUAAAUGUCUGUGUAAGAGACCUAACUAAACAACAUGGGCACCUUCAAGCUUAAGACUGAUUUCCAUCCUUAGGUGCAACAAGAAUAACUGAAAUUUGUCCUUAUCCAUCCAAUGUUGAAAAUAACACCUACUAUAUAAGCUUAAAUGAGGGAAGGGAGGGACCUAGCACAUAGAGGGUGCCCUAUAAAUCCUAGUCUCUUCUUCCACAGGACCACGUGCUAGAACACAUGACUAGCUCUUUGCACUUAUCAAAGAGGAGCUGCUGAGGUCACUUUAGUGUCGUUUGGCCUGGAGCUCACACUGCAGUCAUGUGUCACUCCUCUGUGCAGCAGCUGGUUGCACACCCCUGUUGGAACCUGCCAACUGCAGAGGGCCAGCAGCUAGACUAGAGGGAGCCAGUGGAGACCACACCUCCUAAAAGGCACUUCUGUGAGAAAAAAAAAAAAGUGCUGUUUGUCCAUAGACUACUCAAGAACAAUCUACAGAGAGGAAUAUCCAAAUAGCUGAAGGACUAUGAGAAAAAUAUAAAAUGUCAUUAUUGUUAUGAUUUGGAUGUGAGGUGUCCCCCGAAAACUCACAUGUGAGACAAUGCAAGAAGGCUCAGAGGAGAAGUUAUUGGGUUAUAAGAGUCUUAACCCAAUCAGUGAAUUAAUCCCCUGAUAGGGAUUCACUGAGUGGUAAUUGAAAUGGUAGGGUAUGGCUGGAGGAGGUGGAAUUGGGGCGUGGUUUGGGGGUAUAUAUUUGUAUCUGUCAAGUGGAGUCUCUCUUUCUCUGCUUCCUCCUCAUGAUGUGAGCUAUUUCCCUCCACCACACUCUUCUACCAUGGUGUUCUGCCUCACCUGGAGGGAUGGAGCCAGCCUUCUACGGACGGAGACCUCUGAAACUGUGAACCCUUAAAUAAACCUUCUUUCCUCUACAA
Long non-coding RNA from Marmota monax (woodchuck), 5390 nucleotides. RefSeq lists it as uncharacterized. Lineage: Eukaryota; Metazoa; Chordata; Mammalia; Rodentia; Sciuridae. The transcript is spliced from 3 exons. The record is from RefSeq and is a predicted model, not a curated record.